AGGAUUUGAAACAAAGAGCAAAGAAAGAAGAGAGAGACUCGUUUCUCUCAGUGCUCAGCUAAAAAGGAUAGGAGUGCAGCCAGAAUGCUCUUUGCUUCUGAGCACAUGCGCUGCAGCAGGAGUCAUCCUGGCUGCUUGGCAGGGGACAGCCUACAACAGCAGUGCCUGCAAGGACUGGAUUUUCUUCAUGCAAACGAUGUGAUCCAUCGAGACGUGAAGAGUGACAACAUCCUUCUCAGAACGGACGGUUCUGUCAAACUGGCUGAUUUUGGCCUCGCUACUCAGCUCAGCCCUGAGCAGAGCAGACGGUGCUCGGUAACCGGGACUCCUUGGUGGAUGGCGCCUGAAGUGGUGACAGGUCAACCAUAUGGCCC
This is a long non-coding RNA of Melospiza melodia melodia, 374 nucleotides long. RefSeq lists it as uncharacterized. The transcript has 3 exons. The record is from RefSeq and is a predicted model, not a curated record. Lineage: Eukaryota; Metazoa; Chordata; Aves; Passeriformes; Passerellidae.